CCUAGACUAAUAGGCCUUGAUCCUAUAAUAUUUUAGUUAACAGCUAAACACUUUAACCAGCAAGUCUUAGUCUA
This 74-nucleotide transfer RNA is filed under the name Ornithorhynchus anatinus (platypus). Its description in RNAcentral is "transfer RNA-Asn". The record is from RNAcentral. Lineage: Eukaryota; Metazoa; Chordata; Mammalia; Monotremata; Ornithorhynchidae.